AUACGUAGGUGACAAGCGUUAUCCGGAUUUACUGGGCGUAAAGGGCGUGUAGGCGGUCUUGCAAGUCAGAAGUGAAAUUCCUGAGCUCAACUCGGGCGCUGCUUCUGAAACUGCAGGACUUGAGUGCUGGAGGGGAUAGCGGAAUUCCUAGUGGAGCGGUAAAAUGCGCAGAUAUUAGGAGGAACACCGGUGGCGAAGGCGGCUAUCUGGGCAGAAACGGGCGCUGAGGCGCGAAAGCGUGGGGAGCAAACAGGAUUAGAUACCCUGGUAUUCCACGCCGUAAACGAUGAAUACUAGGUGUAGGGGGUAUCGACUCCCUCUGUGCCGCAGUUAACACAAUAAGUAUUCCGCCUGGGGAGUACGGCCGCAAGGUUGAAACUCAAAUGAAUUGACGGGG
Molecule: ribosomal RNA, 397 nt
Filed under: uncultured bacterium
Lineage: Bacteria
Description: partial 16S ribosomal RNA
Rfam family: Bacterial small subunit ribosomal RNA
Source: RNAcentral